CAUAGGACUUUUGACUCAGGAGCUCAGACAGGUAUCAGAAUUGCACCUCUCUUUAGAAGCAUCCAGUUCAGAUGUCUUUGAAGGUCUCGUUCUGAGCCGUACAGACAGUCGCGCCUCACAAGGAUCCAUUAUUGCGGAUUAGGACUUGUAAGAAUGUGAGGAUAGGUAGAGGAUUCUGACAGCAGGAUUCACAGGCAUCCUUUUUUGCAGUUCUUUGAAGAAAUCAUUCCCUUAGCAUCUUCUUCCUCCAGGGUUCUCUGAGCCUCAUGGGCUCACCAUCGGUCUCACCUCAUUCACUUCAUUUUGCCUUCAUUUUGCAGUCAUUCUUCUUGCCUUCAUUUUGCAGUCAUUCUUCUUGCCAAGUGAUUUCUGUUCCUGUUGUGUCCCCUUUGUUUGUCUUGUCCUGUCCUGUGUCACGGGUGGGUGCACAUAUUUGUCCCGGAGCUGCUCUGCCCUGCCGCAUAGCCCGGCGCGAUAGGACAAAUCCCGGGGACUUGAAAUUUGUAGUGCGGGGUGUAGUUGGAUUCUAGAUGGGAUUUGUAGAUGGACACAAGAUGUUUGGAGGUGUGAAGUUAUUCUGCAGCCCAUUGACUUGUGUCCUGAAUUUCUUUCAGAUGCAGAUGGAUAAAAUCCAUGGCAGAGCACCCCAUCCCAGGAAGUAAAGCCAUCUAGCAGCAGACAAGGCGAAGUGGGCAAGGCAAUCCAUUUGGAGUAUACGUGACUCUGUCACGCACUGGCUGAUGGACUGUGACCGUUGCUCUUUGGAGUCCUGUGGAAGUAUUACAGGACUCGGUGAUGAAGCCUCUGCCUUUUCGAUUUAAAGGAGUCAUCCGGG
Passer domesticus (house sparrow) is the source of this 835-nucleotide long non-coding RNA. RefSeq lists it as uncharacterized. The transcript has 3 exons. The record is from RefSeq and is a predicted model, not a curated record. Lineage: Eukaryota; Metazoa; Chordata; Aves; Passeriformes; Passeridae.